GACGAACCGUGCGAGCGUUGUUCGGAAUCACUGGGCAUAAAGGGCGCGUAGGCGGCUUAUCAAGUCAGGGGUGAAAUCCGGCAGCUCAACUGUCGAAGUGCCCUUGAUACUGAUGAGCUCGAGGGAGGGAGGGGUGUGCGGAACUUCCGGUGGAGAGGUGAAAUGCGUUGAUAUCGGAAGGAACGCCGGUGGCGAAAGCGGCGCACUGGACCGCUUCUGACGCUGAGGCGCGAAAGCCAGGGGAGCAAACGGG
RNAcentral lists this ribosomal RNA (253 nucleotides) under uncultured bacterium. RNAcentral's name for it is "partial 16S ribosomal RNA". It matches the Rfam family "Bacterial small subunit ribosomal RNA", at positions 524 to 776 of the family's 1533-position model. The record is from RNAcentral.